GGCCUGAUAGCUCAGUGGUAAGGGCUUCGCUUCUCAAACAAGAGGGCCGGGGUUCGAAUCCAGGUCAGAUCA
Molecule: non-coding RNA, 72 nt
Organism: Nematostella vectensis (starlet sea anemone)
Lineage: Eukaryota; Metazoa; Cnidaria; Anthozoa; Actiniaria; Edwardsiidae
Source: Rfam